UGCAAAUGACAUUGUUGGUGCUGAUG
This 26-nucleotide non-coding RNA is filed under the name Homo sapiens (human). The record is from RNAcentral. Lineage: Eukaryota; Metazoa; Chordata; Mammalia; Primates; Hominidae.